Molecule: RNA transcript, 4228 nt
Organism: Aquila chrysaetos chrysaetos
Lineage: Eukaryota; Metazoa; Chordata; Aves; Accipitriformes; Accipitridae
Exons: 7
Source: RefSeq, a predicted model, not a curated record
UAAUUUCUUUAGCAAAAUAUUUGCAACAGGAGCGGUGUCUGCAGGAGCUCCUGCAGCAGGAGGGGCUCCAGCCUGGGGCCGGCUGCAGGAACCGAAGCUGCUGCUGCUGCUUUCCCUCUCCCAGAGGCCACACCGAGGGCUCGGGUGUCCGUUGGCUGCAUCUGGCUGAGGUGUGCGUGGGCUGUCUCUGGCUGCGUUCUCCUGGCGGCAGGUGGACGCUUGCUGCCUUUGGCGAGGAGCUGCUGCGGCGGAAGCCAAAGAGAUCAGAAGAAGGUGAAGCAGCUGAGGAAUGAGGACGGCCGUCCCUCUGUCUCUCUCCAGCUGCAAGCAAGAGAGAGCCGACCUCUGCGGGGGGAGGAGGGAUCCCUCUGCGUAGUCCUCGGCAGACCAGAUCACCAACGUGCACCGUGGGCUCUGUAUAUGCAAUGGCAAAUAUAGGGCGGCCCCGUAGUGGGUGGCUGUGUAUCUAGGAAGCCUCACGUUGUCAGCCACCAACGCGUUCUCUUAGGUGGAGGACAGGCAAGUGACUGGAGCUGCAGAAGGGGAAAGGCAGGAAAGGACACACAGACAGAGAAGGAAGUGCCAGAACUUUAAAGUUUGCCUGGUAGUGCAGAGAGUCAGAGCUCCGGUGAGUCCCAGGCCCUUGGGGCCAUGUCACCCCUCUUCUGCGCCCCUCAGUACCUCCCUGCCCCCUCCCCUUUCUCUCUGUGUAAUUUUUUCUCACUUCCCUGUACCUCUUCCCCUAUCUCUAUUUUUGUGUCCUGCCCCCGUCCCUCUCUUUUCUCCAGGUCCCUCUUUCUCUUUUGCUCUACGUGUCCCUUUUGGUUCCUUGCUGUCCCUCUCUCCUCCUCCCUGCCCCUCUGGUUUUUUCUUCCUCUCUCUCUGCCCUGCAGCCCAUUGCCGUUGUUGUCUUCUCUGACUCUUUGUCCAGAUCUGCAUCACGCUCUGAUUUUCACAGUCUCUCUGGCCUGUGCCUUGUCCUUUGUCUCUCUCUGCUUGUAUGUCUCCCUCUGUGUCCUUAUCUGCCUGCCCCACCCCGCCGUCCUUCUGCUUCUCUUUCUUUCUCUCUGUCGCUCUGUCCUGCUCAUCCCUGUCUUUUUUCAUUCUCUAUGCCACUGUCCCUGUCCUUCUUCCUGUCCAUCUCUUAUCUCUCUGUCCCUCUCUGCUGCUCCCUGACACUUUGGGUUUUUUGCCCUUCCUCCACCUCCCUGCAGGGCUCCUGAUACCUCUUUUGCUUUCCCCAUCCUUCCCGUGCUGCUCACCGUCCCUGUCUUUCUCUUUGUCGUCAUUCUUGUCUGUCACUCUGGCCUGCCCCCUGCCCCAGUGUUUCUCACUAUAUCCUUCUGUCCUGCUCCCUGCCCCUAUUCUUUUUUGCUCCCUAUCCAUCUUGCUGCCCACCCCAGGCUUUUUUUGCAAUCUCUAUCCUGCCCCCAGUCCUUAUUUUUCUUUCUCUCUCCUGCCCCCUCUCCCUCUUUCUGCCUCUCUUCCUCUUUCCCUGCUGCUUCUUUUUCCAUCUCUGUCCAGACUCCUGUCCCUUUUUUGCUCUUGCUGUCCCUCUGUCCUUUUUCUUGUCCCCAUCUUUUCUGUCUUUCUGUCCCGUUCCCUGGCCCAUCCUUUCUCACUAUAUCCCCUUGUCUGUCCCUUCUUUCCCCGCUCUCUUGCGCAGUAUUUUUCUUUUCUCCAUCUCUCCAUCCUGCUGCCCAUCACGGUUGGUUUUUCCUCCCAUGCUGUCCUGCUCUUUGUUCCUUUUUUCUCUCCCUGUCACUCUGGCCUGCCCCCUUUGUCUAUUUUUUACUUCCUCCAUCUCAGUCCUGCAGCACAUCACUAUUUGUUGCCUCUUCCACCCCUUUGUCCUGCUCCCUGCCCCUGUCCUUGUCUCUCUUGCCUUUUGUUCUGCCGCCCAUCUUUUCCCCCUUCUGCUCCAUCUCUCUGUCCUGCUCCCUACUCCUCUCAUUCUCUCUCUGGUUCUCUGUUCUUCUCCCCGAGUCUUCCCCCUGCCCUCUACCUUUGUGUCCUGCUCCCUCUUCAGGUUUUGCCCUCUCUUAGUCACUCUUUCCUGCUCCCUGUCGCUGUUAUUUCUCACUCCAUCUCUGUCCUGCAGCUCAAUGCUCUUUUUUCCUUCUCCAUCUCUCUGUCCUGCUGCCCAACCCCGGCUUUUUUGCCUCCGUGUCCUGCUCCCUGUCUCUUUUUUUUUCGCCUGUCUUUCUCUUUGUCCUUCCUCCCUGUCCUUUUUUUCUCUCUCUGUAUCGCCUUGUCCUGCUCCCUGUCCCUGUCUUUCUCUGAUGAUCCAUGUACUUAUUGCUCCCUGUUACCGUCUUGCCCUGUCCCCCACCCUUCUUCUUGUCUUUUUCUUCUCUCUAUCCCUCUGUCCCUGCUGCUUCUCUCUCCACCCCUGUCCUGCUCCCUGCCCCCAUUUUUUCUGUCUUUAUUUCUCUGUCCUGCUGCCUGUCCCAUCGUUUCUUGCUAUACACCGCUGUCCAGCUGGCUCUCCCUUUUAUUUGUCCUCUCUUCCUCUUUCCUGCUUCUCAGCCCUCUUGUCCUCUUCCUCUGUCUGUCCUCCAGCCCAUUGCUGUUUCCCCCCCCUUCUCGGUCUCUUUGUCCAAAUCUGACCCUCUCUUUAUUUCUCAGUCCCUUUGUCUUUCUCCCUGUCCUUCGUUUUCUCUCUCCGUCUGUACGUCCCACUCCCUGUCCCUGUCUGUCUCCCUUUCCUUCUUCCUCUUUCUGGCCCCAUCUCUCUGUCCUGCUCCUCACCCCUACUUUGUCUUCCUCCUCCUCCUCUCUGCAGGGCACCUCAUCCCUGUUUGAUUUCUCCAUCUCUCUAGCCUUUCUUUCUCGGCUCCUUAGUCUUCUCCCUCAUCUUAGUGCUCUCCUUCUAGUCCUCUGUCCUCCCCAUCAGCUUAAACUGAAUGACCAGGUGUCCCUGUGCUCUGGUAUUUCCUUAGCAUUGCCCUAGGGAAGAUCUGUGGUUUUAGGGCUAGGGAUCAUUAGGAGCUGGUCUCCUUGUGUAGGUGGCAGAGCUAGGUGUAGUUAAAGCAGAGGUUGUUCUCAGCUGGUGCUCUCUGCCUCUGGCUCAAACAGCAGGCUGCGGGCCUUCACUUGAAGGAAGGUUUCUUGUUCUGCGCUUCUUGCUCCUCGGGACGCUGCACAGGAGUUGGUAGCAAGUAAAAGCACUUGCAGUUGGCUUUUUUAUGCAGUCUUCCUGUGGAGCUCUUGGUCUUGACUGAUUUCUGGGAAGCAAGACCUGAGUGCCUGUGCGCUCCUAGACGCUGUGCUGCCUCCCCAGAUAGGUCCGCCCUCCUCCACUGCUGCUUCUUCAUUCAGUCAGCGGCGAGGCCAGCAGAUGCAACGCUGUCCGUGGAGACAGGGGCUACUUAACUUCUCAACUUGAGCCUGUCCGUGAGCCUUGGGGUGAUCCCACAGAUGUGGCUGCAGGCGAUGGUUAUCCAGCUUCCUGGCUGGGUUUCAGGGCUGACCCACAGGCAGGUCGCAUGGACGUGGCCAGACAGAGGGCUUUUCCAGCUCCGUGGCUGAAUCCUGGGCUGAAUCCCAGCUGGCAUCCCAGGGAGACCAACCGUGAGAGUGUGCAGAAGGAGGCCUUUCAGAAGGGAAGCAGGCACACCGUGCCAGUCUCCAAUGAAGAAAGAGAGGCAAUGCAAGAGCAUGGCAUGCCAGGGGCAGAUGCUGGGAGAAGGUCUGAGGCUGCUGGUCACGAAUUGCUGCACAAGUACUAUAUCCCAGUGACCGCAGUAGCCUUGGCUGUGGUGCUGUCUGGGCUAGUUGGAUCUUGCAUAGUCAUUUCACGGCUGAGGAAGAGAGACCCAAGGAGCCAGGGAGAUGAAGCAGCACUGGGACAAGCUGAUACUGACUCUGCCUGGAAAAGUGAAGAUCCGACUAGAGAUAAAGGCAAAGCAGAGUCAGGAGAAGGAACAAGAAAAGUUGAGGUUGCUCAAGAAAAUGGGACUUUCAACAACAGCUCCAGCCCAUCACCAUGGCCUUUUGUGGCAGAGCUCACGCAGCUGUACAGGAGCACGAGCGCAGACCCCUCACCUCUGCCCGCUUGUCCCAGCUGCUCUUUCACCGACGAUACCUCUUCACUGGACACUUCGAUUUCUCUCGACUCACCUCAGCCUAACCCCUUCUGGUGUCCCUGUCACCAGUUCCAACAGGGAUACUGUACCUCAGAAGAUGAGUCUUUUUAGAGUAAAUAAAAAAAACAUUUUGGCCAAAA